Molecule: ribosomal RNA, 514 nt
Filed under: uncultured archaeon
Lineage: Archaea
Description: bacterial SSU rRNA
Rfam family: Archaeal small subunit ribosomal RNA
Source: RNAcentral
GCGAAAACUUCGCACUGUGCGAAAGCACGACGAGGGAAUCCCAAGUGCUGGCUCGUAAGAGUCAGCUGUUUUUCUGUCUAAAAAACAGAGAGAGUAAGAGCUGGGUAAGACGGGUGCCAGCCGCCGCGGUAAUACCUGCAGCUCAAGUGGUGGCCGCUAUUAUUGGGCCUAAAACGUCCGUAGCCGGUUCUAUAAAUGCCUGGGUAAAUCGUACGGCUUAACCGUACGAAUUCCGGGUAGACUGUUCAACUUGGGACCGGGAGAGGCUAGAGGUACUCCUGGGGUAGAGGUGAAAUUCUGUAAUCCUAGGGGGACCACCAGUGGCGAAGGCGUCUAGCUAGAACGGGUCUGACGGUGAGGGACGAAGCCCUGGGGAGCAAACGGGAUUAGAUACCCCGGUAGUCCAGGGUGUAAACGCUGCUCGCUUGAUGUUAGUCGGGCUCCGAGCCCAACUAGUGUCGGAGAGAAGUUGUUAAGCGAGCUGCCUGGGGAGUACGGUCGCAAGACUGAAACU